UCGCGCAGGGAAGUAAACACCGCAAUGUGCACACAAACUCGCCCGAGGAGCCGCAAUGUUGCGCCCCCAAAAACUUGGUUGUGUGUCCAAAGAGUGUCACCCCUUUUCUCUCCGCUUCAUGAGACCGGACAGCGACGUGCAAGAAGCGCUACUUUUUUUUUUCUUUUCCCCCCUGCAAACCGGGAAGGAAGAGAACAAAAAACGUGGGACCUACUUUUUGCCAGUUUUCUCGCCCUCGCCUUGGAUCUCAUAUUGUCGCCUUGUAGAUUCCUCUGGUCGUCCACCGUGAGCCCAGAAGCAGCAACAACACUAUCUUCAUCUCACCAGCAUUAUCACUUAUCUCUUCCCCUCCUCCUCCUCUACCUCCUCCUCCACUGCUCUCUCCUCACACUCGCACCUUCUCUCCCUCCCUCACACCCCCUCCAUCCUCCGGCCCCAGCUCCCAGCCCACCCAGCUCCGCUCCUGCCAGCACCCACUUGCAUUUAACUCAAGGCGCCGUCGUGCUACUCUGCAGCCGCCCGGUGCACGCGGCCAGAUUGGUUGACAAAAAAGGCAGGGGAAAAAAGUUUGUUCCAAGAUGGACCGCCGCUAAUUCCACGGUUCGCGGGGUAUUUCGUGUGCGUGCGUGUGCUUGUGUAGCAAUGCAGGACCCAGCGGCUGUUUGACGCAUGCAUGCCCCCCCCCCCAAACCAAACAUUCUGUUCACAGAGUUGCUUAGUCGUAAUUAUUAAUUAAAAAAAAACAGAAUAACAAAAAACUAAAAAAGAGAAAUGCAUGCAAUUGAAAUGGACUGCAGGCUCUGUAAGCAUGACUCCGCACCAGUCUGUUGGUUUAUUGUUUGUGUGCUGCAGACAGCAAUGAAGAAACCUGUAUGCAUGGCCUCAACUCGCUCCCACGGUGCAUGUGAUGUUUAUAACUUCAAAUAUGACAAAAUGUAGACCAUAAUGCAAAUUGUUCCCAAUUAGAUAAUAAUAAUGAUGACAAUAAUAAUAAUAACAAUAAUUAGUAUUAUUAUUAUUGACAUUAUUAUUAUUAUUAUUAUUAUAUUUUUCCUUGUAGCAUAAUUUGGAAAAAGUGUGUACGCUUGCAAUUGGACCCGAGCGGUGGGCCGGGCUCCACAUGGUUCCUGGGCCUGUAGCCUACAUGUCAUAUGGGAAUGGUUUCCGUCUGGUUUUGGCUAAAUAAAGGCGGCUCUGUGUUGGAGCCUAUUAAAGAUCUGCGAUGAUGGAGUGACUGCAGUUUGCUGGAAGGCGCACUCAUCCAUUCACAUUACAACGAAUGCAUAUACAAUUGUUAUAAUUGUGAUUAUUAUUAUUAUUAUUAUUAUUAUCAUCCUCAUCAUCAGUAGUAGUAAUAGUAUGAGGAGGGUCAUAUAGUAAUAAUAUAUAACAAGUUGACAUAAAUCACUUCCAAACUCCUCGUCUUGCAGACACGUAUCAAGCACAUUGGACAGAAAUUGCCCCGGGAUGUUUCCUCAAGACUGGAUGUGAAAUACAGACUGUAAUUAUUAAUCAAUAAUAAUCAGUGGCAAUUACCACGUAUUAGAUGGAUACAACAGGGAGUCUGUCUUUGAAUCUUGGCAGUAUUUUUUUUCUGUUUGACAAAAAUGAACUAUACGUCCACACAAGGAAUUUGAUCACAAUAUUAGGUACAUAUACGUCCAAGAUUAAUUAUUGUAAAUAGGAUAACACUCAAUUUUAACUAACACGACGUUAAGAACGGUAUGUAAAUAGUUUGUAUAUUAUGGUAUUCAUUUAUUGAAUGCUGAGUUUUAAAAUGUAUCUUUUUACAUAUUUCGUAGUCACAACAAAGAACAAUGCGAAACUAAGGGAAACUUUCAGCUCAAAUAGUUAUUGAUAAAGUGUUCAAAGGUUUUUGUUUGGCGCUGGUUAUUGCGUGGGAGUGUUAAUUAGUCAUUGUCUUGAUAGACUGGCUCUAGAUCGAUUAGCUCAGCCUCACAGACAAUAUUGAAGAAAACCGCAAAAACGAAUUUACUUGCGUGUGUGUGGGGGAGAGAGAGAGAGAGAGAGAGAGAGAGAGAGAGAGAGAGAGAGCUGUGUGUGUGUGUGGGGGGGGGUCGAUGGGUGCACGCGCGCACGUCUGUGGUUAUGACAUUUACAGGGAAGGCCCGUGAAAACAAAAUAACAUUUCUAUUGCAUUAGUUUGGACAAAUGACGAGCAAUUAAGGUUUAAUUACCUUGGCAAG
Molecule: long non-coding RNA, 2207 nt
Organism: Syngnathoides biaculeatus (alligator pipefish)
Lineage: Eukaryota; Metazoa; Chordata; Actinopteri; Syngnathiformes; Syngnathidae
Exons: 3
Source: RefSeq, a predicted model, not a curated record